CAGCAAACUUCGACUUUUGCACAUAACGAGCAGUUGUUAUCAGAAUGUUUCGUAUGUCACAGCAUUCCGUUCGCUUCUGCUUCCGAGAUCGCCUCCCCCCCCGCUCCCCCACCCGGGGUAAAAUAUGGAGUGAAAAACAAAAGUGCGGCUGCUGUGCUAUAACAGUCCGGCAUGUAUGAGCAGGGGCCCCCGCCGAGGUCUCACUUACAGUGCAGUGAUUGAAGGGUGCGACGGUUACGUAACUGCAAGGUGUGGUGUGACGCCGCGUGAAUACGAAGCCUUGUCCCACAGAUGUAAUUCAACAGUUUAUUACAUGGCAUAAAGUCACAACCCUGGAGUUCAUCUCAUGGAUAAAGUAAGUGUACUUGACCUCAUAUCUCAUUUUUCAUCCAUUCUCGUUAUCAUUUAAGAUCAUCUUGUCUCAUUUCAUCUCGUCUCGUCUUUUUUCUUGUAUUAUUUCAUAUUUCC
Gasterosteus aculeatus aculeatus (three-spined stickleback) is the source of this 468-nucleotide long non-coding RNA. Lineage: Eukaryota; Metazoa; Chordata; Actinopteri; Perciformes; Gasterosteidae. The record is from Ensembl.